RNAcentral lists this ribosomal RNA (429 nucleotides) under uncultured bacterium. RNAcentral describes it as "bacterial SSU rRNA". It matches the Rfam family "Bacterial small subunit ribosomal RNA", at positions 355 to 776 of the family's 1533-position model. The record is from RNAcentral.
CUAAGAAUAUUCCGCAAUGGGGGAAACCCUGACGGAGCGACGCCGCGUGGAUGAUGAAGGCCGGAAGGUUGUAAAGUCCUUUUGGGCGCAAAGAAUAAGUACGCGAGGAAAUGCGCGUGCGGUGACGGUAGCGCCUGAAUAAGCAACGGCUAAUUACGUGCCAGCAGCCGCGGUAACACGUAAGUUGCGAGCGUUGUUCGGAAUUAUUGGGCGUAAAGGGCAUGUAGGCGGUCGUGCAAGCUUGGUGUGAAAUCCCGGGGCUUAACUCCGGGACUGCGUUGAGAACUGCACGGCUAGAGUAACUGAGGGGCAGCCGGAAUUCCAGGUGUAGGGGUGAAAUCUGUAGAUAUCUGGAAGAACACCAAUGGCGAAGGCAGGCUGCCAGCAGAUUACUGACGCUGAGGUGCGAAGGUGCGGGGAGCAAACAGG